GGAGAGCUUUGCGUCCUAUUAGCUAGUUGUAAGGUAAGAGCUUACCAAGGCGAUGAUAGGUAGCCGGCCUGAGAGGGUGGACGGCCACAAGGGGACUGAGAUACGGCCCCUUACUCCUACGGGAGGCAGCAGUGGGGAAUAUUGGACAAUGGAGGGAACUCUGAUCCAGCAAUUCUGUGUGUGUGAAGAAGGUUUUAGGACUGUAAAACACUUUUAGUAGGGAAGAAAAAAAUGACGGUACCUACAGAAGAAGCAACGGCUAAAUACGUGCCAGCAGCCGCGGUAAU
Molecule: ribosomal RNA, 287 nt
Filed under: uncultured Sneathia sp.
Lineage: Bacteria; Fusobacteriati; Fusobacteriota; Fusobacteriia; Fusobacteriales; Leptotrichiaceae
Description: partial 16S ribosomal RNA
Rfam family: Bacterial small subunit ribosomal RNA
Source: RNAcentral